GACAGAGGGUGCAAACGUUGUUCGGAAUUACUGGGCGUAAAGCGCGUGUAGGCGGCCCUGCAAGUCGGAUGUGAAAUCCCACGGCUCAACCGUGGAAGUGCAUUCGAAACUGCAGGGCUAGAGUCCCGGAGAGGAAGGUGGAAUGCUUGGUGUAGAGGUGAAAUUCGUAGAUAUCAAGCGGAACACCGGUGGCGAAGGCGGCCUUCUGGACAGUGACUGACGCUGAGACGCGAAAGCGUGGGGAGCAAACAGG
Molecule: ribosomal RNA, 253 nt
Filed under: uncultured bacterium
Lineage: Bacteria
Description: partial 16S ribosomal RNA
Rfam family: Bacterial small subunit ribosomal RNA
Source: RNAcentral